This 240-nucleotide unclassified non-coding RNA is filed under the name soil metagenome. RNAcentral's name for it is "partial contains 5.8S ribosomal RNA, internal transcribed spacer 2, and large subunit ribosomal RNA". The record is from RNAcentral.
AACGGUCUAUACCUGCGGUACCUGCGGAGGGAUCAUUAUUGAAUAAAUUUGGUUAGAUUGUAUUGCUGGCUUUUUGAGAAGCAUGUGCACGUCUAAUCCAUUUUCAAUCCCCUGUGCAUCUUGUGUAGGCCUGUAUAACAUUUGAGCUAAUUUUAUGGCUCAGUUUAGAAUCUGCUGUAGUCUUAACAGGUGGUUCAGCUUUUUCUUGUAUUUCAGGUCUAUGUUCUAUAACACCCCAUU